GAGGGUAUAGCUCAAGUGGUAGAGCACAUGCUUAGCAUGCAUGAGGUCCUGGGUUCAAUCCCCACUGCCUCCU
This 73-nucleotide transfer RNA is filed under the name Camelus bactrianus (Bactrian camel). It matches the Rfam family "tRNA". Rfam says of the family: Transfer RNA (tRNA) molecules are approximately 80 nucleotides in length. Their secondary structure includes four short double-helical elements and three loops (D, anti-codon, and T loops). Lineage: Eukaryota; Metazoa; Chordata; Mammalia; Artiodactyla; Camelidae. RNAcentral also lists the same sequence under 2 other names. The record is from Rfam by way of RNAcentral.